RNAcentral lists this ribosomal RNA (1417 nucleotides) under Salmonella enterica. RNAcentral describes it as "partial 23S ribosomal RNA". It matches the Rfam family "Bacterial large subunit ribosomal RNA", at positions 24 to 1483 of the family's 2925-position model. Lineage: Bacteria; Pseudomonadati; Pseudomonadota; Gammaproteobacteria; Enterobacterales; Enterobacteriaceae. The record is from RNAcentral.
GUGGAUGCCCUGGCAGUCAGAGGCGAUGAAGGGCGUGCUAAUCUGCGAUAAGCGCCGGUAAGGUGAUAUGAACCGUUAUAACCGGCGAUACCCGAAUGGGGAAACCCAGUGUGAUUCGUCACACUAUCAUUAACUGAAUCCAUAGGUUAAUGAGGCGAACCGGGGGAACUGAAACAUCUAAGUACCCCGAGGAAAAGAAAUCAACCGAGAUUCCCCCAGUAGCGGCGAGCGAACGGGGAGGAGCCCAGAGCCUGAAUCAGCAUGUGUGUUAGUGGAAGCGUCUGGAAAGGCGCGCGAUACAGGGUGACAGCCCCGUACACAAAAGCGCAUGUGCUGUGAGCUCGAUGAGUAGGGCGGGACACGUGGUAUCCUGUCUGAAUAUGGGGGGACCAUCCUCCAAGGCUAAAUACUCCUGACUGACCGAUAGUGAACCAGUACCGUGAGGGAAAGGCGAAAAGAACCCCGGCGAGGGGAGUGAAAAAGAACCUGAAACCGUGUACGUACAAGCAGUGGGAGCACAGGUUUACCUGUGUGACUGCGUACCUUUUGUAUAAUGGGUCAGCGACUUAUAUUCUGUAGCAAGGUUAACCGAAUAGGGGAGCCGGAGGGAAACCGAGUCUUAAUUGGGCGUUAAGUUGCAGGGUAUAGACCCGAAACCCGGUGAUCUAGCCAUGGGCAGGUUGAAGGUUGGGUAACACUAACUGGAGGACCGAACCGACUAAUGUUGAAAAAUUAGCGGAUGACCUGUGGCUGGGGGUGAAAGGCCAAUCAAACCGGGAGAUAGCUGGUUCUCCCCGAAAGCUAUUUAGGUAGCGCCUCGUGAAUUCAUCUCCGGGGGUAGAGCACUGUUUCGGCUAGGGGGCCAUCCCGGCUUACCAACCCGAUGCAAACUGCGAAUACCGGAGAAUGUUAUCACGGGAGACACACGGCGGGUGCUAACGUCCGUCGUGAAGAGGGAAACAACCCAGACCGCCAGCUAAGGUCCCAAAGUCAUGGUUAAGUGGGAAACGAUGUGGGAAGGCCCAGACAGCCAGGAUGUUGGCUUAGAAGCAGCCAUCAUUUAAAGAAAGCGUAAUAGCUCACUGGUCGAGUCGGCCUGCGCGGAAGAUGUAACGGGGCUAAACCAUGCACCGAAGCUGCGGCAGCGACGCUUAUGCGUUGUUGGGUAGGGGAGCGUUCUGUAAGCCUGUGAAGGUGGCCUGUGAGGGUUGCUGGAGGUAUCAGAAGUGCGAAUGCUGACAUAAGUAACGAUAAAGCGGGUGAAAAGCCCGCUCGCCGGAAGACCAAGGGUUCCUGUCCAACGUUAAUCGGGGCAGGGUGAGUCGACCCCUAAGGCGAGGCCGAAAGGCGUAGUCGAUGGGAAACGGGUUAAUAUUCCCGUACUUGGUGUUACUGCGAAGGGGGGACGGAGAAGGCU